This 671-nucleotide long non-coding RNA is filed under the name Solanum tuberosum (potato). RNAcentral's name for it is "long non-coding RNA (STUB_LNC008783)". Lineage: Eukaryota; Viridiplantae; Streptophyta; Magnoliopsida; Solanales; Solanaceae. The record is from RNAcentral.
UCUUCUAUACCUCACUUGAAUUUUCAGUGGGUUUUUUAAAUUUAUUUAAAUUUGUGAACUUUGUCUCCCUUCACUCUAGUGUAUUUUUUAAAAAUAUAGUAUGAUAAUUUAAACGAGUUACUUGUGUUUAGCCUAUGAAUUUGUUCAGCGUUAGAAAUUUUUAGAAACUUUUAAAAAAAUAUGAUUCAUGAUUUUUUUUUUGUUUGCAGACAAAGCUCAAGGUCUAUAUCCUUAGAAAAGAAGGAUUGGCAAUUUUACUGUGGAAUUUCAGUGAGUAUCUUUUCUAUUUAUUUCUCAUUCUAAUAUCAACUUUACAAUUAAAAUUUUAUAAUAUAUCAUGUUUAAAUCAAAAUAGCAGUGAGUACACAUUAAAAUUAUAUUUUUUUCCUUUUCACACAGGUACAUUGAAAAAUUGAAUGAAGAGUAAAGUUAUUAGAUAAGUUGGCUACAUUAGCAUAUAAGGAGUAACAUUUUUAUUUUCUUAUUGACGACUAACAUUAUGUACUUCCGUUAGGAUCAUAUAAGAAUCUUUAAUGAGAUUAUUUCAAUAUUAUUUUAAUUCUAAAAUAUAUAUGAUCAUGAGAGACACUUUUUGUUAUUAUGUUAAAUGUUUUAUUUUAUUGUGUUGAGUUUAUAUUAUUAUAUGAUAUCUGCUAAGUUUAAAAAAUAAA